AAACUGGCUGCAGUGAUAGGAUGGGUUGGAAAGGUCCUUAAAGAGCGUAAAUGCGUGGAGAGAUAGAAUGGGUUGGGUUGGAAAGGUCCUCAAAGGUCACAGAACCACAGAAUGGGUUGGAAAGGUCCUCAAAGAUCAUAGAGUAAUAGAAUGGGUUGGGUUGGAAGGGUCCUCAAAGGUCUCAGAACCAUGGAAUGGGUUGGAAGGGUCCUCAAAGGUCACAGAACCAUGGAAUGGGUUGGAAGGGUCCUCAAAGGUCCCAGAACCAUGGAAUGGGUUGGAAGGGUCCUCAAAGGUCACAGAACCAUGGAAUGGGUUGGAAGGGUCCUCAAAGGUCACAGAACCAUGGAAUGGGUUGGAAGGGUCCUCAAAGGUCCCAGAACCAUGGAAUGGGUUGGAAGGGUCCUCAAAGGUCACAGAACCAUGGAAUGGGUUGGGUUGAAUGGAUCCUUAAAGGUCACAGAACCACGGGAUC
Molecule: long non-coding RNA, 475 nt
Organism: Tympanuchus pallidicinctus (lesser prairie-chicken)
Lineage: Eukaryota; Metazoa; Chordata; Aves; Galliformes; Phasianidae
Exons: 4
Source: RefSeq, a predicted model, not a curated record